RNAcentral lists this ribosomal RNA (253 nucleotides) under uncultured bacterium. Its description in RNAcentral is "partial 16S ribosomal RNA". It matches the Rfam family "Bacterial small subunit ribosomal RNA", at positions 524 to 776 of the family's 1533-position model. The record is from RNAcentral.
GACAGAGGGUGCAAACGUUGUUCGGAAUUACUGGGCGUAAAGCGCGUGUAGGCUGCUUCAUAAGUCGGGUGUGAAAGCCCUGGGCUCAACCUAGGAAGUGCACUCGAAACUGCGAAGCUUGAGUCCUAGAGAGGAAGGCGGAAUUCUCGGUGUAGAGGUGAAAUUCGUAGAUAUCGAGAGGAACACCGGUGGCGAAGGCGGCCUUCUGGACAGUGACUGACGCUGAGACGCGAAAGCGUGGGGAGCAAACAGG